GGGGGCGACACGGUUUCGACGAGGGUAUGGAAGCUCAAGCUGCGUGCCGGGGUCCGCGACCUCGUUAAAAACGCGGAAAAAACACAAACGCCGACUCUGAAUACGAGUACGCACUGGCUGCAUAGUCAGCCACGUCCUGCAGGCCCUGCCUGUUGGACCUGUAGGGCGCCAAGCUAACAGGCUCGCCCGAUCCAGUUACCUGCGCUGGAAAGGGUUAAACAUUUUGCAGGUUAGCCCUGGAAAGAUCCUGCCCAGAUGGAGCUUUCCGGGCGAAAAUGAAAAAUCUGGGCUACGCACGUAGACGCUUGAGUGGAAUGCUUUCGGACGCGGGUUCGACUCCCGCCGCCUCCACCA
Molecule: transfer-messenger RNA, 354 nt
Filed under: Thermodesulfobacteriota bacterium
Lineage: Bacteria; Pseudomonadati; Thermodesulfobacteriota
Also listed under: 1 other name
Rfam family: transfer-messenger RNA
About the family: Bacterial tmRNA, also known as 10Sa RNA or SsrA, is named for its dual tRNA and mRNA-like properties. Its role is to liberate the mRNA from a stalled ribosome.
Source: RNAcentral